Bombus huntii is the source of this 267-nucleotide long non-coding RNA. RefSeq lists it as uncharacterized. The transcript has 2 exons. The record is from RefSeq and is a predicted model, not a curated record. Lineage: Eukaryota; Metazoa; Arthropoda; Insecta; Hymenoptera; Apidae.
CGACAUCCUCUCGUCGUCCUUGUCGCGUAAAUUCCCCAGCCAAGCAGUGUACCAUCGUAGCUCGCAGUUGCAGAUCAGAGGGUUGUCUGUGGAAAAAGUGCAAGUGGAAAAUGUUUCAGAUAAAUGGCGAGUCCGCACGAGUGACGCGGUCUCCAGAUUUUUGCCAUAGCGAAGGAUAUUCCAGACACGUUUCACUCGCGUGUGAAACGAUACAUCGGAUUGCAAAAAAAAAAAAAAAAAAAAGAAAAAAAAGAAAGAAAAAAGAAA